RNAcentral lists this long non-coding RNA (3534 nucleotides) under Sus scrofa (pig). RNAcentral's name for it is "lncRNA (ENSSSCG00040003230.1)". The record is from RNAcentral. Lineage: Eukaryota; Metazoa; Chordata; Mammalia; Artiodactyla; Suidae.
CUGUACCCCAACCCCAGCCUGAUGGUUCUGUCUUUCUCUUCAUUUCACUUUCUGGGGCUCCGGUUUGUUUGUUCCUUGUUCCACCUCCAGGAAAUAGGCCUGGCACUUUGGGAAAGUCCCCACUUAGAGGAGAGACCCUGGGCUUUGUUUGCUUGGGGACGGAGGGAGGGAGGAGGGAGCCUGGGUCAGGACCACACCCCCUCUCCUUCCCCUCUGGGUAGGUCUCAUGGCCUGGGACCACCUGGGCUGGUGCUGGAAGGACAGGACAAAUAGGCCACCCAGGGGCUCUGGCAGAGUAGAGAGGACUCUGCAAAACCUAGGUUCUGACUCCCACCGUCUGGAUUUGAAUCCUGAUUCCAUCACGCCCUUUUCUGUGACUUUGAGAAGAUGCCUCAUCUCUCAGAUGCUCUUCAUGAAAUAUGAGAGGAAGAUACCAUCUACCUCCCGGCCUGGUAGAGAGGGUUCGAGACUGACUGCAGGUGUGGAAUGGUCAGUAGGGAACCAAGCACAUAGGAGGCACUUUUGUGUUAGGGCCUUGCCGCUCCCAGCAGGCCUCCUCCAGUAAGGGUGAGGGCAGAGGGGGUGGCAUAAAGGAAGAGGAUCUCAGUAAACAUCCCAGGUGAUUGGGACGGGGAGCACCCAGCUCAAGGGAUGGAAGGUGACAGCUGACUGCAUGUAGAGAAGGCAGCAAGAUUGGAGAACAGGCAGCACGUGGGUACAGCAGCCAGCAGUCAUUCAACAAACCCUUGCUGAUGCUGGCCUGGUGCUGGCUGCUGUGGACUCAGAAAUAAAUCAGCCCUGAGCCUUUCCUUGUGGGUUCCCCAGGCUGGGGUGAUUCAUUCUCUCACAGAAGGGCAAAUAGUGUUUAGGAUGAUGUUGCAAUUUCAGACUCAGUGAACACUGAAAGGGCCCCUAAGGACAGACCUGCCAGUCCUUCAGCUGGUUUAUUUGUGUUUUGCUAACAUUUACAGAGCACAUAUGACAUGCCAUGCAACCCCUGAGUAUGUUAUAUGUGUUGUCUCAUUUUUUCCUCAUUUUAUGAAGAGGAUAUGAGGCCCAGAGAGUGGAAGUGACUGGUCCCAGGUCACACAGCUAGAACAUGGAAGAACUGGGAUUUAAUACAGAAUCUGCCACUGGCCCCCCAGCAAUUCUUUUUCUCCAGACUCAGGCCUCAUGAGAAAACUGGCAAAGACAGGCUGGCUCUUUCCAUGAUGCUAUGAUGUUGAAAGAUCCUGUUUGUCCUAUUUAAGAAGGUGGGAAAGCACCUUUGAACCUCUUUUAAUGGGUUAUUUUGUCAAAUAGUUUUAGAAUGACUCCAUAUAUCCAUAAUUUGUAAAAAUAAUUUUAACUUCAUCUCAAUAAUUUCACAAAAUAUCCCAUCAAAAGAGGUGCAAAGGACUAUGAUUAUUUAUUUAUUGUUGUUACAUGUAUGUGAUACAUCGGUAAUAUAGGGUAUUUGCUUUUUUUUUUUGUUGUUUUUUUAGGGCCAUACCUGAGACUUUAUGGAAGUUCCCAGGCUCGGGGGUAGAAUAGAAGCUACAGCUGCCAGCCUACACCACAUCCACAGCAAUGCUGGAUCUGAGCCACAUCUGCGGCCUACACACUAGCUGAAGGCAACACCGGAUCCUUGACCCACUGAGCCAAACCAGGGAUCAAACCUGUGUACUAGUCGGAUUUGUUUCCACUGCACCACGACAGGAACUCCCAGAAUAUUUCUUUUUUAAAUUCAGAGGAAUGAGUGGUAUUAAUCCAGAAUCAAAAUCAUUAUAUUAAAAUGGGACAUUGGGGAAAUAACUCUUAAAAAAAUAAUAAUAAAAUAAAAUGGGGAGACUAGUUAGCUUCGGUCAUAUACACAAUUUGUAAGAAAUUCUGAGGAUGAAAAGACAUGAGAUCAUGCAUGUUAGGGAAGAAGGUGCAAAUCAUGUCAUAGGUAGAAUUAGAAUAUAUUGAAUCAGUAGAAUCAGUUACUUAUGAUCGUAGUAAAAUUAUUGUCGGGUUAAGAACCCAGCUAGUAUCCAUGAGGAUGCAGGUCAAUCUCUGGCCUUGCUCAGUAGGAUAAGGGUCCCGAGUUGCUGCGAGCUGUGGUGUAGGUCGAAAAUAUGGCUCAGAUCCCACAUUGCUGUGGCUGUGGCAUAGGCUGGCCGGUGCAGCUCCAAUUUGACCCCGAGCCUGGGAACUUCCAUAGGCCAUGGGUUAGGCCCUUAAAAAAAAGAGAAAAAUUGGGGGGGGGGAUGUUUUAAAUGGCACAAUGGAGAAGGCACAUUUUUUGUUUGUUCGUUUGUUUGUUUUUAGGGACUGCAGGUGAGGUAUGUGAAAGUUCCCAGACUAGGGGUCUGAUCAGAGCUGUCGCUGCUGGCCUUCACCACAGCCACAGAAACGCAGGAUCUCAGCCGCAUCUGUGACCUACACCACAGCUCACAGCAAUGCUGGAUCCUUAACCCACUGAGAAGGGCCAGGGAUAGAACCCACAUCCUCAGGGAUACUAGGUGGGUUUGUUUCCACUGAGCCAUGACGGAAACUCCCGACAUACUAGGUUUUAGAUGUAGUUGGCUUUAGUUUUACAAAAGUCCCUCUCAUCCCUGCCAUAUAAAGGAGGUGUUCUUUCUAUGUGAUUCGCCUGUUUCCGCGAAUGAAGGGGGUUGUGCGUGGGUUCCACGUGGUGUCCCUGUUCCCUUUCCACCCCCUAGAACCAAAGGCUGGGAAGUAAAUCCUCCAAGAACAGAGAUGUCUUUCCUUUUCUUCCCUUUUCUUCAGUGCCUGGACCAGUGCCUGGCACCUAGUGUGCCCUCAGUGAAUGUGAGAUGAAUGAAAGAAUGCAUAGAAGAGUGAGCCACCAGGGGAAGGGUGCAGAGCAGAGCAUUUGGGCCCUGUGGGACCUGCACCUGUCUGGGCCUGGAGAUGGGACAGGGACACCCUUAGCUGCGUGGGGAGGCCCGGCCUUCUAGACAAAACCCCCUUCCCUCUGCCCUGCCCCACCUAUUCUGCUCUAGCUACCCAUUCGCCCCACCACCCUGGGGCCACUGUAACCAACCACCUGGCCCCAGAGGCGGGUCUCAGCCCAGCCUCACCCCUCCCAGCCAUUGACCAGAAACAGCAGCAGCCUGCAGUGGAUGGAGACAUUCAGAGAAGCCAACGUGGAAAGGGCACACGGGAGGCGUUCAUUCAGCUCACCUGCUUGUCUUCUGUCCCCCUCUUCCGUUCCUCACCUUCUGGAAGAGUAAAAAGACCAGGCCAAAGCAGCAGGGCCACCUGGUCAAGUCAUCCAUGCCUCUGCCUCCACGCCAGCCCGACCCGACUCCACUCUCAUGUCUGGGCCAGGCCGGACCCCCGCUGGGCCAGGCCCCAGGGAGGUAGCCUUUCAAGGGGAGAGAGGCCCGGGCUGCAGGCCGGGUGGGGGAGCUGCCCAUAAAUCAGGCCCCACUCCCACCCAGUCGCUAACAAGCGGGGCUGGCUACCCGCCUACGUGGGGUCCCUGCCUCUGGGCUCCCACAGCGGCCUGGAACAGCCAGCUGGCCAAGGCCUCCAGAGUGCCUU